CCUACGGGAGGCAGCAGUAGGGAAUAUUGCGCAAUGGGGGAAACCCUGAUGCAGCAACGCCGCGUGGGUGAAGAAGGUUUUCGGUUUGUAAAACUCUGUUGUUAGAGAAGAAAAUGACGGUACCUAACUAAAAAGCCCCGGCUAACUACGUGCCAGCAGCCGCGGUAAUACGUAGGGUGCAAGCGUUAUCCGGAUUGACUGGGCGUAAAGAGGGCGUAGGCGGGAUCGCAAGUCAGAUGUGAAAGCCGCGGGCUUAACCAGAGGAGUGCAUUGGAAACUGUUCGGCUGGAGUGCAGGAGAGGUAAGUGGAAUUCUGAGUGUAGGGGUGAAAUGCGUAGAGAUCAGGAGGAACACCAGUGGCGAAGGCGGCGUGCUGGACCGUAACUGACGCUGAUGCUCGAAAGCGUGGGGAGCAAACAGGAUUAGAUACCCGAGUAGUC
Molecule: ribosomal RNA, 440 nt
Filed under: uncultured bacterium
Lineage: Bacteria
Description: partial 16S ribosomal RNA
Rfam family: Bacterial small subunit ribosomal RNA
Source: RNAcentral